RNAcentral lists this ribosomal RNA (468 nucleotides) under uncultured bacterium. RNAcentral's name for it is "partial 16S ribosomal RNA". It matches the Rfam family "Bacterial small subunit ribosomal RNA", at positions 28 to 507 of the family's 1533-position model. The record is from RNAcentral.
GACGAACGCUGGCGGCGUGCUUAACACAUGCAAGUCGAACGGAAAGGCCCUGCUUUUGUGGGGUGCUCGAGUGGCGAACGGGUGAGUAACACGUGAGUAACCUGCCCUUGACUUUGGGAUAACUUCAGGAAACUGGGGCUAAUACCGGAUAGGAGCUCCUGCUGCAUGGUGGGGGUUGGAAAGUUUCGGCGGUUGGGGAUGGACUCGCGGCUUAUCAGCUUGUUGGUGGGGUAGUGGCUUACCAAGGCUUUGACGGGUAGCCGGCCUGAGAGGGUGACCGGCCACAUUGGGACUGAGAUACGGACCAGACUCCUACGGGAGGCAGCAGUGGAGAAUAUUGCACAAUGGGCGGAAGCCUGAUGCGGCAACGCCGCGUGUGGGAUGAAGGCCUUCGGGUUGUAAACCGCUUGCGCCUGUGACGAAGCGUGAGUGACGGUAAUGGGUAAAGAAGCACCGGCUAACUACGUG